AGAGGCGGCUGUUAUGCACGGGAGGCGGGCCCGUAGUAAGCGGAGCCACGCCUGCUGUUUAAAGGUGCAGCCCACCCAAAACACAAGGACGAUGACUGGGACCCAUCACCUCCCCUCCUGAAGACGUCCUGAAGUCUUCGUCCAACGCCCAGAAACUCUCACCUGGCCUUCCUCCCAAACCUGUCAGUUCGGUUUCAGCUUGGCCCUCAUCAGAAAGACAAAAGCUGGAAAAAACAAAAGGAUCUUGACCAUCCGAAACUCCCAUCCCCUUGCCUUCCCCAAAGAGAGAUGAGACAAAGUCCCAGUAGAAACAAACUGGUGGAAAAAGAGGCACAGAGUUUCUGCUCUCGCAGCUUUUCAUCUUCUUUCUUUUGCACUUUGAGAUGCCUUAUCUGCUCCCCUUCUUUUGAAUUAAUCAUCAAAAGUGAGUAAGUGUGAGUGCCCGCUUGAUUCAGAUGCACAAAGACGCGUCUCCUCAGAUAAAGAAAGUGAUUAGGUUUAAGGCACAAAGGGGAGACGUGGGGGGAGGGGGAUCAUUCCUUUUACACACAUCCAAUAACGCAAUUAAAUGCCGUCUUCUCAUAGACAACAUUUAACUGAUGAAUAAAUGUGAACGUAAUUUAUUAAAAAUGAAAGCAAACUGUAACACGGAGGUGUUGUGAUGAGGCUCACUGUGGAGUUUACAGUCAUUCCCUGUUGUCUCAGUGAGGCUUAUUAGCAUCACAGCCCGGUUCAUGCUGGGUGCUCAAGUUUAUUGAGACUCAUAUGUGCAGCAUAUAGACGGGGUGUGGAACGGCCCUCAGAGCCGCUGAGACAUUAUCGCUCCUGAGGUAUCAAUUAACUUACACAUUUAUAUUCAAAAGCAAUAAGAAGGAUUAUUAGUAUGCUCUGAGUGGAGCAGUACAAAAAGGGAAGUACACAAGCACUGAAGGGGCUUGUUGUGUUUAAUAGUUUAGAUUUUUUUAUUAUUUUAUUAUUAGUUUUUAUGAAACUCCUCAAGCAGCAAAUGUGAGGUUAGAAUGUGGAUAAAGGAGAAAAUAAACUGCUGCAGAAACUGAUUUUGAUACGAAGGAUCAGGCAUGUUUUUGAUUUUUAACAGCGUCAUCUUAAUGCAGACACUGUUCUGCUUUAAAUGACAUUUCCUUAAUGUGAUGCUAGAAGACAAAUAUAUCUUU
This is a long non-coding RNA of Poecilia latipinna (sailfin molly), 1175 nucleotides long. RefSeq lists it as uncharacterized. The record is from RefSeq and is a predicted model, not a curated record. Lineage: Eukaryota; Metazoa; Chordata; Actinopteri; Cyprinodontiformes; Poeciliidae. The transcript has 2 exons.